RNAcentral lists this small nuclear RNA (297 nucleotides) under Rattus norvegicus (Norway rat). RNAcentral's name for it is "7SK RNA". It matches the Rfam family "7SK RNA". From Rfam's summary of the family: 7SK was discovered as an abundant small nuclear RNA in the mid-70s but a possible function has only recently been suggested. Two independent studies have found that 7SK RNA binds the CDK9/cyclin T complex (known as elongation factor P-TEFb). Lineage: Eukaryota; Metazoa; Chordata; Mammalia; Rodentia; Muridae. The record is from Rfam by way of RNAcentral.
GGAUGUGAAGUCCAUCUGGCUUUGACAUCUGUCACCCCAUUGGUCACCAGGGUUGAUUCGGCUGAUCUGGCUGGGUAGUGUCCCCUUCUUCCCUCACCGCUCUAUGCGUGUCCAGCCUGAAUCUGCACACUCAGUCAAAAAGAACGACCUUCCCCGAAUAGAGGAGGUGGUCUUGGAUCAAGGGUUUAUGAGUACUGCGCUCCCCUGCUCGAACCUGCACACAAGCUCUCAAGAAAGCUUGCUGAAGUGCAGAGGACUUACGGGUUAGUUAGCAGCCCCUGGAACUCCGGCUCCAGG